This 677-nucleotide long non-coding RNA is filed under the name Solanum tuberosum (potato). RNAcentral describes it as "long non-coding RNA (STUB_LNC006343)". The record is from RNAcentral. Lineage: Eukaryota; Viridiplantae; Streptophyta; Magnoliopsida; Solanales; Solanaceae.
CAAUAUGGAUAUUGGUCAUAUUUUUUGAAUGUUUAGUGUUCCAAGAGUAUAGCCCACCUUAUCAGCAGGGACGGAGCCAAGUGGGACCAAGGGGGUUCAUCGGUGGAAAAUUACACCAUAUAUAGAAGAUUAAUUUUUUUCUAUAUAUAUAUAUAUAUAUAUAUAUAUAGUAAAUGUUGAAUCCCUUUGGCUUCUUCGUAUGUUUACUUGUUCAAAUUUUGAAGCCCCUUAGAAAAAAUCCCGGCUCCACCACUGCUUAUCAGUUUCCAAUGUUCAAAUAGAUGAGUUAGCAGAAUGAGUGAGUUUCGCUUCAACAGGUACCUGGGUUGACUUUGUCACUCAUAUAGGCUAUCAUGCUAUUUCACAUUUCAGCGUUACUGGGGUAUUUCAUGAUUUGACGCAAGGACCAUGCUGGCUAAUCAUUGCUCAACAUUCCAUUUGAUUUGUGUUGUUUUUGUGUAGAUGUACAUCUCAUGACGUUCUUGUAGAAAAUGUGAAUCAAUAGGUGUUAGCUUCUCCUUUAUGGUUUUAUACUUUUCAGUUGAAGUAAUGAUUAAAUGAUCAUCAUACCACCUUAUGUAGGUUAGUGAGACGUUUGCUGAAAUGAUGUUCAAACAUGGGUUUGUGCAUUGUGAUCCACAUGCUGCAAACCUGCUAGUCCGCCCUUUACCUUCUGG